UGCGCCCACUUCGUCCUCUGUACAGAGCAGACCCAACGAAACCCGC
This 46-nucleotide non-coding RNA is filed under the name Pelobacter propionicus DSM 2379. RNAcentral's name for it is "Moco-II RNA". It matches the Rfam family "Moco-II RNA". Lineage: Bacteria; Pseudomonadati; Thermodesulfobacteriota; Desulfuromonadia; Desulfuromonadales; Desulfuromonadaceae. The record is from RNAcentral.